GACGUAGGGCGCGAGCGUUGUCCGGAUUUAUUGGGCGUAAAGAGCUCGUAGGCGGCUUGUCGCGUCGUCCGUGAAAACCCGAGGCUCAACUUCGGGCUUGCGGUCGAUACGGGCAGGCUAGAGUUCGGUAGGGGAGACUGGAAUUCCUGGUGUAGCGGUGAAAUGCGCAGAUAUCAGGAGGAACACCCGUGGCGAAGGCGGUUCUCUGGGACGGUACUGACGCUGAGACGCGAAAGCGUGGGGAGCGAACAGG
Molecule: ribosomal RNA, 253 nt
Filed under: uncultured bacterium
Lineage: Bacteria
Description: partial 16S ribosomal RNA
Rfam family: Bacterial small subunit ribosomal RNA
Source: RNAcentral